RNAcentral lists this ribosomal RNA (497 nucleotides) under uncultured bacterium. Its description in RNAcentral is "partial 16S ribosomal RNA". It matches the Rfam family "Bacterial small subunit ribosomal RNA", at positions 28 to 507 of the family's 1533-position model. The record is from RNAcentral.
GAUGAACGCUGGCGGCGUGCCUAAUACAUGCAAGUCGAGCGAACAGACGAGGAGCUUGCUCCUCUGACGUUAGCGGCGGACGGGUGAGUAACACGUGGAUAACCUACCUAUAAGACUGGGAUAACUUCGGGAAACCGGAGCUAAUACCGGAUAAUAUCUUGAACCGCAUGGUUCAAUAGUGAAAGACGGUUUUGCUGUCACUUAUAGAUGGAUCCGCGCCGCAUUAGCUAGUUGGUAAGGUAACGGCUUACCAAGGCAACGAUGCGUAGCCGACCUGAGAGGGUGAUCGGCCACACUGGAACUGAGACACGGUCCAGACGCCUGCGGGAGGCAGCAGUAGGGAAUCUGCCGCAAUGGGCGAAAGCCUGACGGAGCAACGCCGCGUGAGUGAUGAAGGUCUUCGGAUCGUAAAACUCUGUUAUUAGGGAAGAACAAAUGUGUAAGUAACUAUGCACGUCUUGACGGUACCUAAUCAGAAAGCCACGGCUAACUACGUG